GACGAGGGACCCUAGCGUUGUUCGGAAUCAUUGGGCGUAAAGCGGAUGUAGGUGGCUUUGUAAGUCAGGUGUGAAAGCCCUGGGCUCAACCCAGGAAGUGCAUUUGAUACUGCGAAGCUUGAGUGCCGGAGAGGUUACUGGAAUACCUGGUGUAGCGGUGAAAUGCGUAGAUAUUGGGAGGAACACCAGUGGCGAAGGCGGCUCACUGGACCGGUUCUGACGCUGAAGCGCGAAAGCGUGGGGAGCAAACGGG
Molecule: ribosomal RNA, 253 nt
Filed under: uncultured bacterium
Lineage: Bacteria
Description: partial 16S ribosomal RNA
Rfam family: Bacterial small subunit ribosomal RNA
Source: RNAcentral